This 253-nucleotide ribosomal RNA is filed under the name uncultured bacterium. RNAcentral's name for it is "partial 16S ribosomal RNA". It matches the Rfam family "Bacterial small subunit ribosomal RNA", at positions 524 to 776 of the family's 1533-position model. The record is from RNAcentral.
UACGUAGGGGGCUAGCGUUGUCCGGAAUCAUUGGGCGUAAAGAGCGUGUAGGCGGCUUGGUAAGUCCGCUGUGAAAGUCCAGGGCUUAACCCUGGAAAGCCAGUGGAAACUGUCAAGCUAGAGUCCGGAAGAGGAGAGUGGAAUUCCUGGUGUAGCGGUGAAAUGCGCAGAUAUCAGGAAGAACACCCGUGGCUAAGGCGGCUCUCUAGUACGGUACUGACGCUGAGACGCGAAAGCGUGGGGAGCGAACAGG